This is a non-coding RNA of Odocoileus virginianus texanus, 782 nucleotides long. NCBI's taxonomy places the organism in Eukaryota, Metazoa, Chordata, Mammalia, Artiodactyla, Cervidae. The record is from RefSeq and is a predicted model, not a curated record.
ACUCAGCACAGCCAAAAAUAAAUAGAUAAAGUAUUUAAAAAUAAAAUAACAAGACGUGUGAGAAGGAACUAGAGCAGAUUUCAGCAGGUAGUGGUGGAAGAGUUGGGGACUGGUGUUUUCCAAAAACAAAAUGGAUUAGACUUGUUUAUUCUGGCAAUGCAAGGGAAGGAGAGAGUAUUGUGAUGCUUUUCCUGUGAAGAAAUGGGUAACAGGUUUUUACCACAUCUUCCUAUGUCAGUAUCUAAGGGGUUUAUAUAAAUACUUAGAAGGAUGCUGUGAAGAAACAGAACAACAGAAUAUGGGAGGAGUCCUUGGAAAUUUUUAAAGAAUAAAGUAAAUGGGAAGUCUUAUUUCCUAGAUCACAUGCCCUGGAAAGAAUUCCAUUGUCUGGAUGUACUGCAGUUUAUCCAGUUACCUACUGAACAACAUUUUGGCUGCUUCCAGGUUUUGGCAAUUAUGAAUAAAGCUGCUAAACAGUUAUGUGCAAGUUGUUAUGCAGGUAAGACUCCAGCUUUCAUGACCUGCCCUGAGUUCCAAAGGGUGGAUUCCAACAGUUGUUAAUCAAGGGAGAAGCAGCCAAGAAACCACUUGAGACAAGAUUAAAGGGACCAGAGAAGCUCAUGAAGAUUGAGAUCCAGACCACCCGAGAUUAAGGGACUACAAGCCCUGCUCACACCCUAAUCUUAUCAGAGACCCCACCUUUGAACCACUGUUAUAAAACCCUUCAUCAAUUCCUCUGGGGUAGAGAUACACAGUUUUUGGAGACAGAAGCCCAGUGUGUC